RNAcentral lists this signal recognition particle RNA (289 nucleotides) under Suricata suricatta (meerkat). RNAcentral describes it as "Metazoan signal recognition particle RNA (ENSSSUG00005023061.1)". It matches the Rfam family "Metazoan signal recognition particle RNA". Rfam says of the family: The signal recognition particle (SRP) is a universally conserved ribonucleoprotein. The record is from Rfam by way of RNAcentral. Lineage: Eukaryota; Metazoa; Chordata; Mammalia; Carnivora; Herpestidae.
GCAGUGGCACAUGCCUUGUAGUCCCAGCUACUUGGGAGGCUGAGGCAGGAGGAUGGCUAUAGCCCAGGAGCUCUGGGCUGAAGUGCAUUGUGUCGAUGGGGUGUCCGCACUAAGUUCAGUAUCAAUAUGGAGACCACCUCAGAGUGAGGGGACCACCCUAGGAGGGUUGAACCAGUCCAAGUCUGAAACAGAACAAGUUAAAACUCCUAUGCUGCCUAGUAGUAGUGGGAUGGAGCCUGUGAAUAGCCACUGCACUCCAGCCCAGGCAGCAUAGUGAGACCUCUCUCUA